Long non-coding RNA from Acanthopagrus latus (yellowfin seabream), 334 nucleotides. RefSeq lists it as uncharacterized. The transcript is spliced from 2 exons. The record is from RefSeq and is a predicted model, not a curated record. NCBI's taxonomy places the organism in Eukaryota, Metazoa, Chordata, Actinopteri, Spariformes, Sparidae.
UAUUAAAGUGCGCAACAUCAACAAGCGGUAGCCAUAACAACCCGCAACAACAGGGACACCAGGGAGACAGAUCUUCACGCUGUCCCGGGGAAGGAGACGUGUUGCCGGGGUCACUGCAUACCAAACCACUGUUCCUGAUCGGCCCACUGUGCUGCUUCACUGUCACUGCCCUCCAGAUCUCCAUCCUCCCCACUGCCCUCCAUGUCGUCGCCGUCCAGCUCCACUGUGGCGUCCGUGGGACUCUCCUCCUUCUCCAUUUUCUGCAUGCCUUCUAGAGACUUCUGGUCAUUUGGAUCCAGGCUGAGGAGAGAUGAAAUAAAAAUGCAAAAACUUA